ACGCUCGACACCUACGGGGGCAGCAGUCGGGAAUAUUGCGCAAUGGAGGAAACUCUGACGCAGUGACGCCGCGUGCAGGAAGAAGGUUUUCGGAUUGUAAACUGCUUUAGACAGGGAAGAAAGAAAUGACAGUACCUGUAGAAUAAGCUCCGGCUAACUACGUGCCNGCAGCCGCGGUAAUCUGAGCGGGCUGGCAAGGC
RNAcentral lists this ribosomal RNA (200 nucleotides) under uncultured bacterium. RNAcentral describes it as "partial 16S ribosomal RNA". It matches the Rfam family "Bacterial small subunit ribosomal RNA", at positions 328 to 539 of the family's 1533-position model. The record is from RNAcentral.